This 406-nucleotide ribosomal RNA is filed under the name uncultured bacterium. RNAcentral describes it as "partial 16S ribosomal RNA". It matches the Rfam family "Bacterial small subunit ribosomal RNA", at positions 30 to 526 of the family's 1533-position model. The record is from RNAcentral.
AUUGAACGCUGGCGGCAGGCCUAACACAUGCAAGUCGAACGAGUGGCGGACGGGUGAGUAAUGUCUGGGAAACUGCACGAUGGAGGGGGAUAACUACUGGAAACGGUAGCUAAUACCGCCUACCAUCGGAUGUGCACAGAUGUGAUUAGCUAGUAGGUGGGGUAACAGCUCACCUAGGCGACGAUCCCUAGCUGGUCUGAGAGGAUGACCAGCCACAAUGGAACGGAGAUAAGGGCCAGACUCCGACGUGAGGCAGCAGUGGGGAAUAUUGCACAAUGGGCGCAAGCCUGAUGCAGCCAUGCCGCGUGUAUGAAGAAGGCUUUCGGGUUGUAAAGUACUUUCAGCGAGGAGGCGUUACUCGCAGAAGAAGCACCGGCUAACUCCGUGCCAGCAGCCGCGGUAAUAC